This 515-nucleotide ribosomal RNA is filed under the name uncultured archaeon. RNAcentral describes it as "bacterial SSU rRNA". It matches the Rfam family "Archaeal small subunit ribosomal RNA", at positions 345 to 859 of the family's 1478-position model. The record is from RNAcentral.
AACCUUUACACUGCACGACAGUGCGAUAAGGGAAUCCCAAGUGCGUAGGCAUAGAGCCUACGCUUUUGUCCACCGUAGGGAGGUGGACGAAUAAGGGCUGGGCAAGACCGGUGCCAGCCGCCGCGGUAAUACCGGCAGCCCGAGUGAUGGCCGAUCUUAUUGGGCCUAAAGCGUCCGUAGCCGGCCGCACAAGUCCAUCGGAAAAUCCACCCGCUCAACGGGUGGGCGUCCGGUGGAAACUGUGUGGCUUGGGACCGGAAGGCGCGACGGGUACGUCCGGGGUAGGAGUGAAAUCCCGUAAUCCUGGACGGACCGCCGAUGGCGAAAGCACGUCGCGAGAACGGAUCCGACAGUGAGGGACGAAAGCUAGGGUCUCGAACCGGAUUAGAUACCCGGGUAGUCCUAGCCGUAAACAAUGCCUGCUAGGUGUGGCUCCCACUACGAGUGGGUGCUGUGCCGUAGGGAAGCCGCUAAGCAGGCCGCCUGGGAAGUACGUCCGCAAGGAUGAAACUUAA